Molecule: non-coding RNA, 950 nt
Organism: Ictidomys tridecemlineatus (thirteen-lined ground squirrel)
Lineage: Eukaryota; Metazoa; Chordata; Mammalia; Rodentia; Sciuridae
Source: RefSeq, a predicted model, not a curated record
GGGAGGUUUCCUUGGAGCCCGUGAGACGGGGCAGGAUGAAACGUGAACAGAAAGCGCUCCAGAUGCUCACCCGGCAAACGCAGCUUCUCAUCGCACGCUGAUUCAGUGAUUUUUUUUUCCUUUUUUUUUUCUUUUUUUUCUCUCUCUGAUGCUAAAGCCCCCAACAUUCUGUGGGGCUGGAAAACAGAGUCACAUAGAGAGGGAUUAAAAAGGCUUCACCAACCAAGUCGGUUCUACCCCACACCCAUCCGCCCACGGGCUCGAGGUGCCUGGCGGGUCUCCGUCACAGUCACCGUCACGGACACGGUCAAGGCAGACUUCUGUCUUGGCAGAGAUCGGCAGCAUGGAUGCCUGGGUGUGCCAGAGGAGUGUGCAGGCUGGAUGAGCCCAAUAAUAAAUGCUAACUGAGUGCAUCUCACUGGACCCAAGUUUGGAGCUGCCCUCCUUUUGCUGCCCACAGAGCCUGAUCCUGGUAGCAUCUGGUGCCAAGGAGAUGCUGAAAAUGAUUGUGGAACAAAAGCAUCUGUACCCAAGAGGAGCAACACCCCAAGCUUCAGAGAUGCCACAGGAUGCAGUCGACUUAACCAGCCCUGGUCUGAAAUCCAGGCCCUCCCAUUCCAGAGCAUCCCCCAGGUCCCCAGCAUCAGGGCUUUACGCUGGACUCCGGAGUGGGGUUUGAGGAGGUGCCAGAUCCUCCCAGGGAAGGCCCACCAGGGACACCCGGGUGCACUGCCUCCUCCCUGGAUGUUCCUCCCUUCUCGUCCCUGGCCCUCUCUGGUGUGUUUACUUGCCGCAGCCAGAAAGCCCACCUUGCACCCGCCCUCUCCGCGGUUCAGCUGCACCUCUCUCCUCCAAUAAACCGUUUGCGUUCCAUCUGGUGAGCGUUUGCUCCGAAGACGUUUCCCUGUCAAUCUCUCCCGCCACAUUAAAAAUCUGUCAUUACGACGGCA